AACGAACGCUGGCGGCAGGCCUAACACAUGCAAGUCGAACGCCCCGCAAGGGAGUGGCAGACGGGUGAGUAACGCGUGGGAACGUGCCCUUCGGUUCGGGAAUAACUCAGGGAAACUUGAGCUAAUACCGGAUACGUCCGUAAGGAGAAAGAUUUAUCGCCGAAGGAUCGGCCCGCGUCGGAUUAGCUAGUUGGUGAGGUAACGGCCCACCAAGGCGACGAUCCGUAGCUGGUCUGAGAGGAUGAUCAGCCACACUGGGACUGAGACACGGCCCAGACUCCUACGGGAGGCAGCAGUGGGGAAUAUUGGACAAUGGGCGAAAGCCUGAUCCAGCCAUGCCGCGUGAGUGAAGAAGGCCUUAGGGUUGUAAAGC
This 373-nucleotide ribosomal RNA is filed under the name uncultured bacterium. RNAcentral describes it as "bacterial SSU rRNA". It matches the Rfam family "Bacterial small subunit ribosomal RNA", at positions 29 to 431 of the family's 1533-position model. The record is from RNAcentral.